CAGGCUCAGGCCAAGCCCAGGCCUCAGCAGGACUGCACAGCUGCCCACCAAUGUCCUCCUUCUGCCCAGGACCCCGCAAAGGUGACCGGAGGCCGGGAUGGAGCUGGGCCUGCCAAGCCCGCCGGCCACCUCCUGUGACUGCAGGGCCGGGACGUCUCGUCUCAGCAGACACAGCAGACCCCACUCGUAGGCAGGAGCAGCAAGGCACAGACCCAUCCGUCACUGGCCGAGCAUCUGGCUGCAGAAGCCAACGCUGGUCCCUCCGUCCUGCCCCGGCUUGGCCGCCCCUGCUGCUGACGCCUCCCUGAGCGCCUGCCUGGUCCUCUGCCAAGCAGAGGUGCCGGCUUCCCCGGACACUCCAGUCUCCGCGCCAAGGUGGCAGACCCUUCUGCUGGGCCAGCAGGGCCCCGCCACGUCCACCUGCCAUGUGCUCCUGGCUGGCUUUCCCGUUUGGCUAGCAGACCACCGACCCUCCACGGGCAGGCCGGGUGCACAUCGCCUCGCAGAGCCCAGAACCCACGCAUCUCCCGAGUGAGCCCCGGGCCAGCCCCGUGCCUGGCACACAGGAAACGCUCGGCUGGGCAGGCCAUGUUGCCUGAGACAGGCCGACCCAGGCCCUCAGCAGUGGGGGUGGCCUGGCGGCUACGGCUCCUUCACCCUGGGAGUCUCAGGAGGACUCAUGGGAGCCCACACACGCGGCUGCCCCCAGUGCCUUCGGGGGCCUCACAGCGCUCAGGUGGGAAGCAGCCACGCAGGCUGUCCGCAGGGGCCACGGUCAGCUCCACGCAGCAGAGACGCAGGAUGGCGCCAGCACGAAGGCCCUGGAGCCCUGGCUCCCUCAAGUGACCGUCGCUGACCUCAAGAUGGGGCAAGGUCUUCAGACGAAGGGAAGCACACACCUGUGCUGCGCCCCAGCGGGGUCGCCAGAGGAGCACUGCGGCCGCAGGAGACCCACCAGGCCCAAGAGUGAGGAACUCCACACUGGCACGGCUCUUCUGAGGACAGAAAAGGUGGGCACACAUCCCAGAUUAUUCUGUCGCCACCAUAACCUGGGCAAUGAACCUGCAGAGAACCAUGUCAGGAAAAAAACAGAAAUGCGUGGCCUACAGAUUAGCAAAAGGUCAGUAAACCGAGUCCAACAACAUCCAGAAAGGACCAUGCAGGGUGCAGAUUAGCCUAACCCGAAGCUCAGCCAACGAGCCCACCACACUGGCAGGAGGAAGAUGGGGAAAGAGGCGCAAACACCAACCCAAUGUCAGUGCACUGAGAAGGAAGGGACUGGCCCCAGCCUACCAGAGAAACCUGCAGCACACAAGGACACAUGGCCUCGGCAGGGCAGGGCAGGGCAGGGCAGUGCGACCGAGGAUGGACAGGAGGGCACCCAGGGCAGAGACCGGCAAGGCACCAGAGGCAAAGAAGACUCAUGAGAGGCCUGGUUCCUAGGGUAGGGGCAGAGCUGUCCCCGUGUGGAGUCCGUGAACCUGCACAUUAGAAUUAACAAGAGUCCAGCAAGGUUGCUGGGCACCAGCCUGACAAAAUCACUUGCAUUUUUCCAUUCUCCAACUGCAAACAAUCAGAAUACGCAAUGGAAGAAAUAACAGAAAAGCCACAAAGUGCCUCGUAACAGCUCUCCCUGGACAUGGGCUGCCUCUGGGCCGGGCUGACUGCACCCGCAGCCCCCACUGCCGUGGCCUGGAACCAGCAUCUGGAGGGUGAGGCCCUGCCCUGCCCAACAGCAACAGCGGGGAGCAGGGCAAACGGGGACCGGCUGAGGCCACUGCGUGUCCACCCGAGAGGCGAAGCCGACUCACACCGGGAAAAGGCCAGGCAGGUGCAGGGCGGGACAGACAUGGCGGGGUGGGGUGGCCAGAGGUUGGUCUCCAAGGUGCCUUCCCAACCUCGAGACAGGGACAGAGUUUUUAGACGUCAGCAACACACACACAGGCGAGGUGGCCCUACAAAUCUGAAGACCCUCUAAUGGCCACAAGCGACGUAAGAGUGAAGAGCCAAGUAAAUCAGAAAAGAGCAGAACAGGCCAAAAGGCAUGCAGACGUGUCACAAAAUGGGAAAAAUCUAACUGAGCAUCAGGCGCAGCUUCGUUUGUUAUCACAGAAAGGCCAGCUACAAGCACUAGGGGGUGCCGGGUUGGAGGGCGGUGAGGGUCCGGUCGGGGUGACCUGGGGGCCGCACCUCCGCCCAGCAGGCUCUUGGCUCCCACGCGGGCGCUGCCCACUGGCCGGGCCCAGGCUCUGAACACAGGCAACCCGCCCCGCCCACCUCAAAGGCCGCAGGGCCUCCAGGCUCAAUCCACCCGCCCAGGCCAAGCCCCCACCAGAGUGGGGACACGGCGCCUGGCAGCAGCCGCAGUGCAGCAGGGUGGGAAGAAUGCGGCCUCUUGACCAUGCAGAGGGCUGGCACAUCAGGGGCAAGAGGGCGGGUCUGGGAGCUCGGCCACAGAGCCACGCAGAUCGGGUCCCAGGGUGACCGCUGCGUCCCACUUGGAAGACACCACACCUCCCUGGGACAAGGAUGCAUAACGGCCUCACGGCCCCGGAAGGGGAGGGAGCCCAGCUGAGGACGGCUGAGCAGCUAGCAGGCCACGGGCGGAGGCCAGAGGGAGAACCCCCGCGCGGCCCUUGGUGAUGCUGCCACCCUUGGGCGUUCUCAGCAGGCCUGUGUGUGUAACACGAAGAGGCUGCUCUCAGCCCUCGGCCUUUUAAAGGGCAAUUUGCUGCACGGGGGUGAUAUGGAUGUAAAGAGGCUGCCGACAGGUGACAAAGCAGCUGGAAAUAUCACGGGUCUUGGAAACGCCAUUUGUUUUUAAAAAAUGACAGAAAAGGGGCCGGG
This is a long non-coding RNA of Heterocephalus glaber (naked mole-rat), 2847 nucleotides long. The record is from Ensembl. NCBI's taxonomy places the organism in Eukaryota, Metazoa, Chordata, Mammalia, Rodentia, Bathyergidae.